This 406-nucleotide ribosomal RNA is filed under the name uncultured bacterium. RNAcentral describes it as "partial 16S ribosomal RNA". It matches the Rfam family "Bacterial small subunit ribosomal RNA", at positions 30 to 526 of the family's 1533-position model. The record is from RNAcentral.
AUUGAACGCUGGCGGCAGGCCUAACACAUGCAAGUCGAACGAGUGGCGGACGGGUGAGUAAUGUCUGGGAAACUGCCUGAUGGAGGGGGAUAACUACUGGAAACGGUAGCUACUACCGCAUACCAUCAGAUGUGCCCAGAUGGGAUUAGCUAGGUGGUGGGGUAACGGCUCACCAAGGCGACGAUCCCUAGCUGGUCUGAGAGGAUGACCAGCAACAAUGGAAACGGGACACGGUCCAGAAUCCUACGGGAGGCAGCAGUGGGGAAUAUUGGACAAUGGGCGCAAGCCUGAUGCCGCCAUGCCGCGUGUAUGAAGAAGGCCUUCGGGUGGUAAAGUACUUUCAGCGGGGAGGCGUUACCCGCAGAAGAAGCACCGGCUUACUCCGUGCCAGCCGCCGCGGUAAUAC